CUACGGGCCGCUCCAGUGGGGAAUAUUGCACAAUGGAGGAAACUCUGAUGCAGCAACGCCGCGUGGAGGAUGGCACUUUUCGGAGCGUAAACUCCUUUUAUAUAGGAAGAAGAUGACGGUACUAUAUGAAUAAGCGCCGGCUAACUCCGUGCCAGCAGCCGCGGUAAUACGGAGGGCGCAAGCGUUACUCGGAAUCACUGGGCGUAAAGAGCGUGUAGGCGGAUUAAAAAGUCAGAAGUGAAAUCCUAUAGCUUAACUAUAGAACUGCCUCUGAAACUCUUAAUCUAGAAUAUGGGAGAGGUAGAUGGAAUUUCUGGUGUAGGGGUAAAAUCCGUAGAGAUCAGAAGGAAUACCGAUUGCGAAGGCGAUCUACUAGAACAUUAUUGACGCUGAGACGCGAAAGCGUGGGGAGCAAACAGGAUUAGAUACCCUAGUAGUC
RNAcentral lists this ribosomal RNA (439 nucleotides) under uncultured bacterium. RNAcentral describes it as "partial 16S ribosomal RNA". It matches the Rfam family "Bacterial small subunit ribosomal RNA", at positions 339 to 795 of the family's 1533-position model. The record is from RNAcentral.